Molecule: ribosomal RNA, 301 nt
Filed under: uncultured bacterium
Lineage: Bacteria
Description: partial 16S ribosomal RNA
Rfam family: Bacterial small subunit ribosomal RNA
Source: RNAcentral
CAGCCGCCGCGGGAAUACGUAGGUGGCAAGCGUUGUCCGGAAUUAUUGGGCGUAAAGCGCGCGCAGGUGGUUUAAUAAGUCUGAUGUGAAAGCCCACGGCUCAACCCCGGAGCUGCUUUGGGAACUGUAGAACUGGAGUGUCGGAGGGGUAAGCGGAAUUCCCAGUGUAGCGGUGAAAUGCGUAGAUAUUGGGAGGAACACCGGCGGCGAAGGCGGCUUACUGGACGACAACUGACGUUGAGGCUCGAAGGCGUGGGUAGCAAACAGGAUUAGAUACCCGCGUAGUCCCUGUCUCUUAUAC